CGUCUUCCUCAUCGCACCGGCCCGGGUCGCCUCGCCUUCUCCAGCGUCCGAUCUCCCAUUCCCCACCUCUCUCUCCUCACCGCACCAACAACCACCAUCUCCUCGCCCCCUCCCUUCUCUCCCCUCCGCUCCCCAGCGCGGGCUCGCGCGUUUUUAUACGGGUUUCCGGGCGGGCGAUGGCCGACGGCGGGAGCCACGACAGCGGGAGCCCGAGGGGCGGUGGCGGGGGCGGGGUCAGGGAGCAGGACAGGUUCCUCCCCAUCGCCAACAUCAGCCGCAUCAUGAAGAAGGCCGUGCCGGCCAACGGCAAGAUCGCCAAGGACGCCAAGGAGACCCUGCAGGAGUGCGUCUCCGAGUUCAUCUCCUUCGUCACCAGCGAGGCCAGUGACAAGUGCCAGAAGGAGAAGCGCAAGACCAUCAACGGGGACGAUCUUCUCUGGGCGAUGGCCACGCUUGGCUUCGAGGAGUACGUGGAACCCCUCAAGAUCUACCUGCACAAGUACAGAGAUAUGGAGGGUGAUAGUAAAUUGACCUCAAAAUCUGGUGAUGGCUCCGUAAAGAAAGAUACAAUUGGUGCCCAUGGUGGUGCCAGUAGCUCAAAUGCACAAGCGAUGGUUCAACAUGGAGCUUACCCCCAAGGGAUGGGCUACAUGCAACCUCAGUACCAUAACGGGGACACCUAGAACUGAAGACUGGCAAUUUUCGGCAAGUGGCAUGAGAUUUAAGGAUGGGCAGUUACGUACAACUAUACUGUGAAACAUGCCCCACCUGUCAGCCUCUUGGGUCUUGGCCUUGCACCUCACCCUGUUGGAGAUUAAGAGACCGACGGGUGGGCUGGGUUUGUGUUACAAUUGAUGGUUCAACCACAGUUCUUGAGUUUUACUAUAGGAGAGCUUACAUCUGUAACUAUGUCAAAUAGUGCUUAUCUAUCUGUCAAGGAAGUCGCCCCUCCAUUAGGUUCAUGUUCAUUGGCUGAAAACUAAAGCACCAGAAAGGGUGCUUAACUGUUGUCUCCCAGAUGUAAAUUGCUUCCGCGAGAAUAGAUUCACCUGUGGUUUAGUCCUUGUUUUUAUCUGUAUAUUCAGAAUAAUUCAGCCAUUGAUAGUUUGGCAGUCUUUUGCUUUCAGAUAUUUGUAUUAUUAGGAAGCAUAAAUCUAUUGCAACUGGUUAUUAACUUGACAUUUCUUGA
Brachypodium distachyon (stiff brome) is the source of this 1189-nucleotide RNA transcript. It is a transcript of the gene named nuclear transcription factor Y subunit B-3, with no coding region annotated. The transcript has 9 exons. The record is from RefSeq and is a predicted model, not a curated record. Lineage: Eukaryota; Viridiplantae; Streptophyta; Magnoliopsida; Poales; Poaceae.